AUAUCCCCACGAUUGAAAAUUUAUUCACACCUAACUUCCUUCGUCUUUAGAAAAUAUUAGGAAUUCCGAAACCAGUUUUUUCUUCUUCGGCUUAUUGUUCUUCCAUUUCUUCUCCAUUCUCUUCUGAUUUCUUCUUCGCUCUCCUCCAAUUUCUUCAUCUUCAAUUUUCUGCUUAGGGUCGUUAUUCUUGCUUGAAGUUGCAAAGAAAAAUGAGGUGCGAUUUUUAUAUUUUAAAAUUUCUACAAAAAAACUUCAUGCUUCUUGUUUCCUCCAUGCAAUUUGUUGUUAAUAUUAUUAAUGAUCCUUCAUUAUUUUCAACUUAUGAAUAUGUAUUUUUAUAUUUCAAAUCUUUACUUCUUUUUUUUUUCCUCAUCCCCCAUGUGGCUGUCAAGUUUGCCUCUGUUUCAGCAAUAUGCAUUUUAAGUUCAUAGGGUUUUAGCUUUAUGCAGGUAACUAACUAGUUAUAUCAUGAGAUUAGCCAAUUUUAUGUACCUUAUUUUCAAUCUGUCGUUCAUAGUGUAGAUUGGUAUGUUGAUGGGUUCCCUAAUUUUUUUGGCUUUCUUAUUCUUUCAAAUCAAAAGAUGUUUGACGUUGUUGGUCUUCUGAUUUCUUGGAUUUGGGUUUGGAGGUAAUAGAUAGAUGUGUUUGUGAGUUAGAUUUGAUUGGAUUUAAUGAUGUGUUGAUGCAUAAUAUUAAUUUGUAAUAUUGCUAUGUGAUUUCCAACCAAUUACAUCUUAUUACCUUUUAAUUUUUCUCAAUUAUUUCAUACUUCUAAUAGUCUACUGAUUUUGUUGUGAUUGAUGUAUGUUUACUUUAAAAUUGUCAUUUAAUUGGCUUCUAAAUUGCAUUUGGUUUAUUUUUUUGUUAAAUGCCAUCUAAUUGCUUGCUUUGUUGUUAUGGCAAAAAAUAGAAAGACUAAGGAAGAAGAAAAAAGUAAAAAAAGAACGAUGAAAUUUGAGAAAUGAGAAACUUCAACUAAAAGACAAAAGAAAAUGAACAAAAAGAACAAUGAGGUAAUUAGCAUAUUACAACAUGGUUAGAUUGUCUAUUGAUCUACGUCUGUUUUACUUCAGGUAAUAAUUGAAUACGGUUUGUUACACUCAUUUAGUAAAACAAAUAAAUUGUUAACAUAUUUUAGGAGGACAUUCCACCUCAUGGGUACAAGGUGCAUUAUUAUUCAAAUUUUGAAAUGUUAGAAAAAAUGCUUAAAUUACUCACACCAAAACAAAAGGAACACUUUAGAAGUGGACUAUUUGAGUUCUUUUUAGACUAUGGGAUAAAUAAGUUUCAAGGUCAACUACUUGUUCAUCUAUUAGGAAGACUAUCUGAAAAAGAUAGCAACAAUGAACAACUGGUCUUUAAUUUAGAAGGAUAUACAAUUCGAUUUUCUUUGAAAUACUUUUGUUUGAUAACUGGUUUUAGAUGUCAUCCAUUAUGAAGUCCAUAGAAUUAAAUAAUCGGGAGGAUAGAAUAUAUUUGUUGAGAGAUAAUGUCUUCAGCAACUUAGAUGACAUUGAUAGGAAUAACGUACUUGCUUCUUUAGCAGUAUGUAAAUAUGACGAUGACUCAAUGGUUAAGCUUACCAACUUGUAUAUCUUAAAAUGUUUUCUUAACUGCAAGCAAAAUCAUAAUAAGGUGGAAUGGAAGAACGUAGAGAUAUUAGGGAUGAUGACACUUUAAACACCUCUCAUUGGGGUAGGUUAGUUUUUACUUUGACAGUAGAAUUCUUUAGAAAGGCUGCUCAAACCAAAAGUAAAAAUUGCACCUUACAAGGAUUUUCUCAAGUCUUAUUAUGUUGGCUUACGGAAUAAUCUCAAAACUUUCUAAGCAAGGUGUUGGAAUUGUAACACGAGUGAGUGAAGAAUGCCCAAGAAUGCUAAGAUGGAGACCAACAAAGAAACCUGAUAAGAACUAUCUCCAAGAGCUCAUCUUUAAAGCGAGCGAUUUUAAAGUUGUCCAUUUGAAUAAAUCUGAAGAUGAAUUACAUUCAAACUACUUCCAAUAUUUUGCAAACAAGCCACUGGAAGUAAUUGAAGAAAGAUGGAAAUAUAAGAGGUCAAUCUGCUUGGAUGAUGAAGAAGAAGUUUGGAAUGAACAAGAGGUUCAAAGCUUAGGUGUAGAUGGUUCUAUUAGAGGGGACAUCAGAAAAAUAAAAGAGGACUUUGAAUCUUUGAAGAAAGAAACUGUUAAAAUUUUGAAAAAUAUGGCCACAUUGUUUGAAUUGUUCAACUCCAUGAAUAAAUAAUUAGCUACAAAAAACAUAGAGAAGCAAUCUCAAGACUUCUUCCAUCCUAAUAGACCUCCAACAGCAAGCCUUCAAAGAAUUGAAGAUGAGAUAAAUAUCCAAUGAUUGGAAGACAAAGAGAAGAAAAAGAUGGGAAAAUGAAGGAAAAGAGGAAGAAGAUGAAAGUGAAGAAAUACAAGAAGACCAAGAAGAUAACAAGUUUAAUACACUUGGAAAAGUGUGUUUUGAUAACAAGUUUAAGAAGAUAAAUCCAAAAAAGAAAAUGAAGAAAAAAACAUAAAGAAAAAACAUGGCAAAGAAAAGAAACCGGUUGUUUAGAAUAAAAUGUGGACAAGAAAGUCUUCACAAGAUAAGCCUGAAGUGGAAUAUGAACGACCAAGAAGAAAAUUAAAACCCACAUCUAAGGUUAUUGAUUUGGAAAUGGCGAAAAAACACAAAUAUCCAAAGAUAUGAAAUACAAGCACUGUUAUCAAACUACCUUAUUUUGAUUUGAACAUUUCACAACCAAAAUGAAAUCAAAUUUCUUUUGGUAACUUUUAUAGACUUUGGUGUUGAU
Long non-coding RNA from Benincasa hispida (wax gourd), 2801 nucleotides. RefSeq lists it as uncharacterized. The record is from RefSeq and is a predicted model, not a curated record. Lineage: Eukaryota; Viridiplantae; Streptophyta; Magnoliopsida; Cucurbitales; Cucurbitaceae.